Molecule: ribosomal RNA, 253 nt
Filed under: uncultured bacterium
Lineage: Bacteria
Description: partial 16S ribosomal RNA
Rfam family: Bacterial small subunit ribosomal RNA
Source: RNAcentral
UACGAAGGGGGCUAGCGUUGCUCGGAAUCACUGGGCGUAAAGCGCACGUAGGCGGCUUCUUAAGUCAGGGGUGAAAUCCUGGAGCUCAACUCCAGAACUGCCUUUGAUACUGAGGAGCUCGAGUCCGGGAGAGGUGAGUGGAACUGCGAGUGUAGAGGUGAAAUUCGUAGAUAUUCGCAAGAACACCGGUGGCGAAGGCGGGUCUCUGGGCCGAUACUGACGCUGAGGAGCGAAAGCGUGGGGAGCGAACAGG